RNAcentral lists this ribosomal RNA (519 nucleotides) under Eubacterium sp. oral taxon G75. RNAcentral's name for it is "bacterial SSU rRNA". It matches the Rfam family "Bacterial small subunit ribosomal RNA", at positions 368 to 903 of the family's 1533-position model. Lineage: Bacteria; Bacillati; Bacillota; Clostridia; Eubacteriales; Eubacteriaceae. The record is from RNAcentral.
ACAUGGGACGAAAACCUGAUGCAGCAACGCCGCGUGAAGGAAGAAGGCUUUCGAUGCGUAAACUUCUGUGCCAAAGGGAAGAAUAAUGACGGUACCUUUGAAGAAAGCCCCGGCUAACUACGUGCCAGCAGCCGCGGUAAUACGUAGGGGGCGAGCGUUAUCCGGAAUUACUGGGCGUAAAGAGUAUGUAGGUGGUUAAGUAAGCGUAGGGUUUAAGGCGACAGCCCAACUGUCGUAUGCCCCGCGAACUGUUUAACUUGAGUACAGGAGGGGAAGGCGGAAUUCCUAGUGUAGCGGUGAAAUGCGUAGAUAUUAGGAGGAACACCAGUGGCGAAGCGGCCUUCUGGACUGUAACUGACACUGAGAUACGAAAGCGUGGGUAGCAAACAGGAUUAGAUACCCUGGUAGUCCACGCCGUAAACGAUGAGCACUAGGUGUCGGGCUCGCAAGAGUUCGGUGCCGGAGCAAACGCAUUAAAGUGCUCCGCCUGGGGGAGUACGCACGCCAGUGUGAAACUCA